Molecule: ribosomal RNA, 500 nt
Filed under: uncultured bacterium
Lineage: Bacteria
Description: partial 16S ribosomal RNA
Rfam family: Bacterial small subunit ribosomal RNA
Source: RNAcentral
GAUGAACGCUAGCGGCAGGCUUAAUACAUGCAAGUCGAGGGACAGCACAGGUAGCAAUACUGGGUGGUAACCGGCAAACGGGUGCGGAACACGUACACAACCUUCCUUUAAGUGGGGGAUAGCCCAGAGAAAUUUGGAUUAAUACCCCGUAAUAUAGUUGAAUGGCACCAUUUGAUUAUUAUAGCUACGGCGCUUAAUGAUGGGUGUGCGGCUGAUUAGAUAGUUGGCGGGGUGACGGCCAACCAAGUCUACGAUCAGUAGCUGAUGUGAGAGCAUGAUCAGCCACACGGGCACUGAGACACGGGCCCGACUCCUACGGGAGGCAGCAGUAAGGAAUAUUGACCAAUGGACGCAAGUCUGAACCAGCCAUGCCGCGUGAAGGAUUAAGGUCCUCUGGAUUGUAAACUUCUUUUAUUUGGGACGAAAAAGGGCCUUUCUAGGUCAACUGACGGUACCAGAUGAAUAAGCACCGGCUAACUCCGUGCCAGCAGCCGCCGUAA